ACACUAACUAGAUGAUUAAUGAACAAACACAAAAGAGACAAAAUACGAAAAGAUAAAAAAAAAUAAAAAAUUACACAAUAAAGGAUUUUGAAUGUACGCUGAGAACAAUGGCGCUGUUCAUUUAAUGCUCCCCGCGUACCUCAGUAACUCCCGAACCAACGAUAUCCACCCGUUAUUGAGUGGAUCCCAUUGACCAUUAUUAUCCAAAAGCGCGUUGAAGGAAGCCAAUGAACACAGUAUAGGUGUCAUAACUGGAGCAACAGUACGAUGAUGUGGUACCACGAAAAGUUUAUUUUUUCCCUAUGUCACACUACAGGUCUUUAACUAUAUCCAUGCAAAAACUCACGUUGAUCAGUUCCUCGGUUGCGGCGUGAUUGAAGGUCCAAUCAACAAAGAAACA
Molecule: long non-coding RNA, 400 nt
Organism: Maniola jurtina (meadow brown)
Lineage: Eukaryota; Metazoa; Arthropoda; Insecta; Lepidoptera; Nymphalidae
Exons: 2
Source: RefSeq, a predicted model, not a curated record